GCGGGGGUUGCCGAGUCAGGCCAAAGGCGCAGGGCUUAAGACCCUGUCCCGAAGGGGUCCGGGGGUUCAAAUCCCCUCCCCCGCA
RNAcentral lists this transfer RNA (85 nucleotides) under Candidatus Mnemosynella bozhongmuii. RNAcentral describes it as "tRNA-Leu". It matches the Rfam family "tRNA". From Rfam's summary of the family: Transfer RNA (tRNA) molecules are approximately 80 nucleotides in length. Lineage: Archaea; Methanobacteriati; Methanobacteriota; Archaeoglobi; Candidatus Mnemosynellales; Candidatus Mnemosynellaceae. The record is from RNAcentral.